UCAAAGGCUCAGAGGCAAGGACGCAUGGUAGACUUAAGUCAAGCGCGCAACAUAAUGCAUUAAAUCAAGUAAUCACAAUGGACGGUCAUGAUUAUAACAUUGAGACACGAUCCAAGGGCGGGGAAACAAACACGUGGGGAUGGUGGUGGAAACCACCAUCUUCUCCGGUGAGAUACCAUAUUCCGGCCACCACGCGCAGGAAAAAAAUUUGUAACGAAAAUAAAAAGUAAGGACAUCAAAAUGAAGCUCAGGUGAUGUACAUC
Molecule: long non-coding RNA, 263 nt
Filed under: Lathyrus oleraceus (garden pea)
Lineage: Eukaryota; Viridiplantae; Streptophyta; Magnoliopsida; Fabales; Fabaceae
Description: Pisum sativum (pea) long non-coding RNA (PSAT_LNC020968)
Source: RNAcentral